GAAUUGACGGGGGCCCGCACAAGCAGUGGAGUAUGUGGUUUAAUUCGAAGCAACGCGAAGAACCUUACCAGGGCUUGACAUCCCUCUGACCGGUCUAGAGAUAGGCCUUCCCUUCGGGGCAGAGGAGACAGGUGGUGCAUGGUUGUCGUCAGCUCGUGUCGUGAGAUGUUGGGUUAAGUCCCGCAACGAGCGCAACCCCUGUUGUUAGUUGCCAGCAUUAAGUUGGGCACUCUAGCAAGACUGCCGGUGACAAAUCGGAGGAGGGUGGGGACGACGUCAAAUCGUCAUGCCCCUUAUGUCCUGGGCUACACACGUACUACAAUGGCGACUACAGAGGGAAGCAAUACCGCGAGGAGGAGCAAAUCCCCAAAAGUCGCCCCAGUUCAGAUUGCAGGCUGCAACUCGCCUGCAUGAAGUCGGAAUUGCUAGUAAUGGCAGGUCAGCAUACUGCCGUGAAUACGUUCCCGGGCCUUGUACACACCG
Molecule: ribosomal RNA, 483 nt
Filed under: uncultured Clostridium sp.
Lineage: Bacteria; Bacillati; Bacillota; Clostridia; Eubacteriales; Clostridiaceae
Description: bacterial SSU rRNA
Rfam family: Bacterial small subunit ribosomal RNA
Source: RNAcentral